Molecule: ribosomal RNA, 253 nt
Filed under: uncultured bacterium
Lineage: Bacteria
Description: partial 16S ribosomal RNA
Rfam family: Bacterial small subunit ribosomal RNA
Source: RNAcentral
UACGGAGGGUGCAAGCGUUGUUCGGAAUUACUGGGCGUAAAGCGCGUGUAGGCGGUCGCGCAAGUUUGAUGUGAAAGCCCGGGGCUCACCCCCGGAAGUGCAUUGGAAACUGCGAGGCUAGAGUGCCGGAGAGGAGUGUGGAAUUCCUGGUGUAGAGGUGAAAUUCGUAGAUAUCAGGAAGAACACCGGUGGCGAAGGCGACACUCUGGAUCGGUACUGACGCUGAGGCGCGAAAGCGUGGGGAGCAAACAGG